This 253-nucleotide ribosomal RNA is filed under the name uncultured Dysgonomonas sp. RNAcentral describes it as "partial 16S ribosomal RNA". It matches the Rfam family "Bacterial small subunit ribosomal RNA", at positions 524 to 776 of the family's 1533-position model. Lineage: Bacteria; Pseudomonadati; Bacteroidota; Bacteroidia; Bacteroidales; Dysgonomonadaceae. The record is from RNAcentral.
UACGGAGGAUGCGAGCGUUAUCCGGAUUUAUUGGGUUUAAAGGGUGCGCAGGCGGGAAAUUAAGUCAGCGGUGAAAUCUGGUCGCUUAACGAUCACACUGCCGUUGAAACUGGUUUUCUUGAGUAUAGAUGAAGUAGGCGGAAUUCGUUGUGUAGCGGUGACAUGCUUAGAUAUAACGAGGAACUCCAAUUGCGUAGGCAGCUUACUAAGCUAUAACUGACGCUCAAGCACGAAAGCGUGGGGAUCAAACAGG